GAUGAACGCUGGCGGCGUGCCUAAUACAUGCAAGUCGAGCGAACAGACGAGGAGCUUGCUCCUCUGACGUUAGCGGCGGACGGGUGAGUAACACGUGGAUAACCUACCUAUAAGACUGGGAUAACUUCGGGAAACCGGAGCUAAUACCGGAUAAUAUAUUGAACCGCAUGGUUCAAUAGUGAAAGACGGUUUUGCUGUCACUUAUAGAUGGAUCCGCGCCGCAUUAGCUAGUUGGGAAGGUAACGGCUUACCAAGGCAACGAUGCGUAGCCGACCGGUGAGGGUGAUCGGCCACACUGGAACUGAGACACGGUCCAGACUCCUACGGGAGGCAGCAGUAGGGAAUCUUCCGCAAUGGGCGAAAGCCUGACGGAGCAACGCCGCGUGAGUGAUGAAGGCCUUCGGAUCGUAAAACUCUGUUAUUAGGGAAGAACAAAUGUGUAAGUAACUAUGCACGUCUUGACGGUACCUAAUCAGAAAGCCACGGCUAACUACGUG
This 497-nucleotide ribosomal RNA is filed under the name uncultured bacterium. RNAcentral's name for it is "partial 16S ribosomal RNA". It matches the Rfam family "Bacterial small subunit ribosomal RNA", at positions 28 to 507 of the family's 1533-position model. The record is from RNAcentral.